RNAcentral lists this ribosomal RNA (62 nucleotides) under Succinea caduca. RNAcentral's name for it is "partial 16S small subunit ribosomal RNA". Lineage: Eukaryota; Metazoa; Mollusca; Gastropoda; Stylommatophora; Succineidae. The record is from RNAcentral.
AUAAUCUAGUGAUCUGAUUACUUUUCAUAAUUUUCAUAAGAUAUGAUAAUUAUUUAAAAAUG